AUUUGUGCACAAAAUUUGAGAGAAAUAAGCUUUUUGUGCAUGUGGAAAUUUCUGGGAUCUUUUAUUUCAGCUCAUGAAAGAUGAGACCAACACUUACAUGUUGUGUAUUUUUGUUCAGUGUAUGAUGAUGAAUGUUUGAAUGUAGGCUAUUUCUUUCUAUGUGAACCAGUGGCCAUGCAGGUUGACUUUACUCUGACUGAGUGUAAUCUAGUUGACUGUCUGUGGUGUUUUAGAUGGAGAGAAGAGACAGGAGAACAGAACAGGGUGACUACUGAUCUGGACCACAUUCUGAAGGGGCUGGACUCCAUGUCUGAGUGUCUGGACAGACUGGCAUGUAGUGUGGGCACAGCUGAGACAGUGUGACCUGAUCAUGUGACAUCAGCCACCCAGUCAAGAUGGCCUCUCGGAAUAGAGUGGAACAGGGGGAGAGGACAGUCCAUUCAGCUCUCCCCAGCCCGCCAUAGUGAAGCCACCUCAACUAAAGGCCCCAAAGCCACCAGGCUAUUCUAACGGAUCCAGCUCCAGUAAACCUCCUACUCCUCCUUCUCACCCUCCUUCAAAUGUCCCCAACACAAAACCAGGCACUUGGAAGAGGACUAGUGACCAGAGGCCAGGCUGAAGCAUCUCUCAGAUGGGUUAACAAGGUCAGGAAUCCCCCACCCCUGGUGGGCCUCACUAACACACACACACAGUGUGUAUCAAUGUAGCUGUGUGUGUUUCAGGAUAGAGUGUUUCUGGUGAGGGACAGUUCCAAGGCUCUUCUGAGCAGUCCUACACCCUCAUAGUGAUGUGUGGCUUGGUACCAAUGUUAUGUCAAAUUUAGAGAAACACUACAGUACACACAAUAUAUAUAUAUAUAUGUAUAUAUGGAUCUCUCUCUGCUCUCUCUCUCUAUAUAUAGCUGUAUGACAAACUUUUACCUUGUCUCUAUAUAUAGCACAUCUCUCUCUCAAUAGCUAGAUAUAUAUCUAGCUAUCGAGAGAUGUGCUAUAUAUAGAGAUCCAGCAUUUU
Molecule: long non-coding RNA, 1011 nt
Organism: Oncorhynchus gorbuscha (pink salmon)
Lineage: Eukaryota; Metazoa; Chordata; Actinopteri; Salmoniformes; Salmonidae
Exons: 5
Source: RefSeq, a predicted model, not a curated record